RNAcentral lists this ribosomal RNA (792 nucleotides) under uncultured Methylibium sp. Its description in RNAcentral is "partial 16S ribosomal RNA". It matches the Rfam family "Bacterial small subunit ribosomal RNA", at positions 1 to 758 of the family's 1533-position model. Lineage: Bacteria; Pseudomonadati; Pseudomonadota; Betaproteobacteria; Burkholderiales; Sphaerotilaceae. The record is from RNAcentral.
CGAUGGGCCGACGUCGCAUGCUCCCGGCCGCCAUGGUUAGAGUUUGAUCCUGGCUCAGAUUGAACGCUGGCGGCAUGCCUUACACAUGCAAGUCGAACGGCAGCACGGGAGCAAUCCUGGUGGCGAGUGGCGAACGGGUGAGUAAUAUAUCGGAACGUGCCCAGUAGUGGGGGAUAGCCCGGCGAAGCCGGAUUAAUACCGCAUACGACCUGUGGGUGAAAGCGGGGGAUCGCAAGACCUCGCGCUAUUGGAGCGGCCGAUAUCAGAUUAGCUUGUUGGCGGGGUAAAAGCCCACCAAGGCGACGAUCUGUAGCUGGUCUGAGAGGACGACCAGCCACACUGGGACUGAGACACGGCCCAGACUCCUACGGGAGGCAGCAGUGGGGAAUUUUGGACAAUGGGCGCAAGCCUGAUCCAGCCAUGCCGCGUGUGGGAAGAAGGCCUUCGGGUUGUAAACCACUUUUGUCAGGGAAGAAACGGUUUGUCCUAAUACGGCGGACUAAUGACGGUACCUGAAGAAUAAGCACCGGCUAACUACGUGCCAGCAGCCGCGGUAAUACGUAGGGUGCAAGCGUUAAUCGGAAUUACUGGGCGUAAAGCGUGCGCAGGCGGCUUUGCAAGACAGAUGUGAAAUCCCCGGGCUCAACCUGGGAACUGCAUUUGUGACUGCAUGGCUAGAGUACGGUAGAGGGGGAUGGAAUUCCGCGUGUAGCAGUGAAAUGCGUAGAUAUGCGGAGGAACACCGAUUGCGAAAGCAAUCCCCUGGACCUGUACUGGACCUCAUGCACGAAG